UGGAUCCAGACUUUGAUCAUGGCUCAGGAUGAACGCUAGCUACAGGCUUAACACAUGCAAGUCGAGGGGCAGCAUGUCGGUAGCUUGCUACCGAUGAUGGCGACCGGCGCACGGGUGAGUAACGCGUAUCCAACCUGCCAUUGUCCCGCGCAUAACCCGGUGAAAACCGGACUAAUUCGCGAUGUGUCCCGUUGAGGCAUCGAUUCGGGAUGAAAGACUUGUCGGACAGUGAUGGGGAUGCGUCUGAUUAGCUUGCCGGCGGGGUAACGGCCCACCGGGGCGACGAUCAGUAGGGGUUCUGAGAGGAAGGUCCCCCACAUUGGAACUGAGACACGGUCCAAACUCCUACGGGAGGCAGCAGUGAGGAAUAUUGGUCAAUGGGCGAGAGCCUGAACCAGCCAAGUAGCGUGCAGGAUGACGGCCCUACGGGUUGUAAACUGCUUUUAUGCGGGGAUAAAGUGGCGCACGUGUGCGUUUUUGCAGGUACCGCAUGAAUAAGGACCGGCUAAUUCCGUGCCAGCAGCCGCGGUAAUACGGAAGGUCCGGGCGUUAUCCGGAUUUAUUGGGUUUAAAGGGAGCGUAGGCCGCCGAUUAAGCGUGUUGUGAAAUGCCGUGGCUCAACCAUGGCACUGCAGCGCGAACUGGUUGGCUUGAGUGCGCGGAAGGCAGGCGGAAUUCGUGGUGUAGCGGUGAAAUGCUUAGAUAUCACGAAGAACCCCGAUUGCGAAGGCAGCUUGCCGCAGCGCUACUGACGCUGAAGCUCGAAGGUGCGGGUAUCGAACAGGAUUAGAUACCCUGGUAGUCCGCACGGUAAACGAUGGAUGCCCGCUGUGUGCCAUUAUGGUACGCGGCCAAGCGAAAGCGUUAAGCAUCCCACCUGGGGAGUACGCCGGCAACGGUGCAACUCAAAGGAAUUGACGGA
This 922-nucleotide ribosomal RNA is filed under the name uncultured Bacteroidota bacterium. RNAcentral describes it as "bacterial SSU rRNA". It matches the Rfam family "Bacterial small subunit ribosomal RNA", at positions 1 to 917 of the family's 1533-position model. Lineage: Bacteria; Pseudomonadati; Bacteroidota. The record is from RNAcentral.